UAUAGUCUGGCCUGCUCAGUGACGUUUAAUGUUAAAUAGCUGCGGUAUCUUAACCGUGCAAAGGUAGCAUAAUCAUUAGUUUUUUAAUUGAAAGCUUGUAUGAAUGGUUAGACAAAGAAAAAGCUGUCUUUUUUAUUAAUAUUGAAAUUAACUUCUAAGUGAAAAGGCUUAAAUUUUCUAGAGGGACGAUAAGACCCUAUAAAGCUUUAUAAAUUUAGGUAUUUUAAUUAUUUAUGGUAUAACUUUUUUUACUGAAAUUUUAUUUAGUUGGGGCGACGGUAGUAUAAAUAAAAGUAACUGCUAUUAUUUUAAACAAUUAUAUUUGAUUGGACUAGCUAAUAUUAAAUGAUCCCUUUUAAGGAUUAAAAGAUCAAGUUACUUUAGGGAUAACAGCGUAAUUUUUUUUGAGAGUUCAUAUCGAAGAAAAAGUUUGCGACCUCGAUGUUGAAUUAAAGUUGUCUUUAUGGUGCAGCAGCCAUAAAAGAAGAUCUGUUCGAUCUUUAAUUCUUUACGUGAUCUGAGUU
This 524-nucleotide ribosomal RNA is filed under the name Incultus tuberculosus. Its description in RNAcentral is "Xiphonectes tuberculosus partial large subunit ribosomal RNA". It matches the Rfam family "Bacterial large subunit ribosomal RNA", at positions 1846 to 2611 of the family's 2925-position model. The record is from RNAcentral. Lineage: Eukaryota; Metazoa; Arthropoda; Malacostraca; Decapoda; Portunidae.